AAAACGAAGAAGAAGUGAACGAGAAGAGAAAGCAGAAACGAGAAACCGAGGAACCUCUUCUAUAUCUUUCCGCUCUUUUUUCUUUUUUUUUUUCGAAAACAUUUUGUUUCUUCUUUGAGUUUUAGAAGAAGAAGAGAGAGAAGAAGAAGAGAGAGAGAAGAGAAGAGAGAAGUG
This 174-nucleotide non-coding RNA is filed under the name Chloropicon mariensis. The record is from RNAcentral. Lineage: Eukaryota; Viridiplantae; Chlorophyta; Chloropicophyceae; Chloropicales; Chloropicaceae.